This is a non-coding RNA of Podarcis lilfordi (Lilford's wall lizard), 69 nucleotides long. Lineage: Eukaryota; Metazoa; Chordata; Lepidosauria; Squamata; Lacertidae. The record is from the annotation of a GenBank genome assembly.
GCGGUGGUGCAGUGGUCAGAAUGUCAGACUAGGACCUGGGAAACAGGGGUUCAAAUCCCCUUCUCAGCC